This 230-nucleotide ribosomal RNA is filed under the name uncultured bacterium. RNAcentral's name for it is "partial 16S ribosomal RNA". It matches the Rfam family "Bacterial small subunit ribosomal RNA", at positions 28 to 239 of the family's 1533-position model. The record is from RNAcentral.
GACGAACGCUGGCGGCGUGCUUAACACAUGCAAGUCGAGCGGUAAGGCCCUUUCGGGGGUACGACGAGCGGCGAACGGGUAGGAGUAACAACGUGGGUGGACCUCGCCCUCCAGCUCCUGGGAGUAAGCCUCGGGAAACCGGGGUACCGUAAUAACCGGAGUAUGACUCCAUGACGCAUGUUGUGGGGUGGAAAGACCUUGUGCGGCUGAGGAGUGGGCCCGGCCGGCCU